GAUGAACGCUGGCGGCGUGCCUAAUACAUGCAAGUCGAGCGAACGGACGAGAAGCUUGCUUCUCUGACGUUAGCGGCGGACGGGUGAGUAACACGUGGAUAACCUACCUAUAAGACUGGGAUAACUUCGGGAAACCGUAGCUAAUACCGGAUAAUAUUUUGAACCGCAUGGUUCAAUAGUGAAAGACGGUUUUGCUGUCACUUAUAGAUGGAUCCGCGCUGCAUUAGCUAGUUGGUAAGGUAACGGCUUACCAAGGCAACGAUGCAUAGCCGACCUGAGAGGGUGAUCGGCCACACUGGAACUGAGACACGGUCCAGACUCCUACGGGAGGCAGCAGUAGGGAAUCUUCCGCAAUGGGCGAAAGCCUGACGGAGCAACGCCGCGUGAGUGAUGAAGGUCUUCGGAUCGUAAAACUCUGUUAUUAGGGAAGAACAAAUGUGUAAGUAACUAUGCACGUCUUGACGGUACCUAAUCAGAAAGCCACGGCUAACUACGUG
RNAcentral lists this ribosomal RNA (497 nucleotides) under uncultured bacterium. Its description in RNAcentral is "partial 16S ribosomal RNA". It matches the Rfam family "Bacterial small subunit ribosomal RNA", at positions 28 to 507 of the family's 1533-position model. The record is from RNAcentral.